GAUGAACGCUAGCGGCAGGCCUAAUACAUGCAAGUCGAACGAGAUUAGGAGGCUUGCUUCUUAUGAAAGUGGCGCACGGGUGCGUAACGCGUAUGCAACCUACCUUAAUCAGGGGGAUAGCCCGAAGAAAUUCGGAUUAAGACCGCAUAAAAACACAGGAUAGCAUUAUCCAAUGUUCAAAUAUUUAUAGGAUUAAGAUGGGCAUGCGUGUCAUUAGCUAGUUGGCGGGGUAACGGCCCACCAAGGCGACGAUGACUAGGGGAUCUGAGAGGAUGACCCCCCACACUGGUACUGAGACACGGACCAGACUCCUACGGGAGGCAGCAGUAAGGAAUAUUGGUCAAUGGAGGGAACUCUGAACCAGCCAUGCCGCGUGCAGGAAGACAGCCCUCUGGGUCGUAAACUGCUUUUAUUCGGGAAUAAACCUUUCUACGUGUAGGAAGCUGAAUGUACCGAAGGAAUAAGGAUCGGCUAACUCCGUG
RNAcentral lists this ribosomal RNA (482 nucleotides) under uncultured bacterium. RNAcentral describes it as "partial 16S ribosomal RNA". It matches the Rfam family "Bacterial small subunit ribosomal RNA", at positions 28 to 507 of the family's 1533-position model. The record is from RNAcentral.